This 253-nucleotide ribosomal RNA is filed under the name uncultured bacterium. RNAcentral describes it as "partial 16S ribosomal RNA". It matches the Rfam family "Bacterial small subunit ribosomal RNA", at positions 524 to 776 of the family's 1533-position model. The record is from RNAcentral.
UACGGAGGAGGCAAGCGUUAUCCGGAAUUAUUGGGCGUAAAGCGUCCGCAGGUGGCAAUUCAAGUCUGUGGUUAAAGACUGGGGCUUAACCCUGGAAAGGCCAUGGAAACUGAAUAGCUAGAGUGCAGUAGGGGUAGAGGGAAUUCCCGGUGUAGCGGUGAAAUGCGUAGAGCUCGGGAAGAACAUCGGUGGCGAAAGCGCUCUGCUGGACUGCAACUGACACUCAGGGACGAAAGCUAGGGGAGCGAAUGGG